This is a long non-coding RNA of Mastomys coucha (southern multimammate mouse), 474 nucleotides long. RefSeq lists it as uncharacterized. The record is from RefSeq and is a predicted model, not a curated record. NCBI's taxonomy places the organism in Eukaryota, Metazoa, Chordata, Mammalia, Rodentia, Muridae. The transcript is spliced from 2 exons.
UGGUUACUGGCUGACCCAGUACAGAAGCCCUCCCCAGACGCCAGCACCUUGAUAAUGGACGCUCAAGCUCAGGAACUUUGAGAAGGAAAUGACGUUUCUCCGCUCACUACUCUGCCUGUGGUAUUCUCUAAUGGCGGCACGGGGAGGCGCUACAGGAAGAGGAAGCAGGACCCCGGGCUGGGAGGUCUCAGGUGUACAUGAAACAAGGAGACAAGAGCUUUGGAUAUUUUAGCCUCCCGAGCAAGAAUCUGCCAGAGAGAGAUGACUCCAUUCUAGAUGCAUCAACACGACAGACUUCCAAGCUUGCUAGAUCACAAGUUCACCCCAGGAAGAGAAAGCCCAUGACAAUGGUGGGCCAGAGGAGGAUACACACUGGAAGGAUAUACAUUCCUUACUGUGUCAUCUCCCGUGCAUUGUCAUCUGGAAAAUGGCACACGGUGUUGUUAUAAGCAUUAAAAAGGCUGCAAGUGUAAA